AUCAACUUUCGAUGGUAGGAUAGAGGCCUACCAUGGUGGUAACGGGUAACGGGGUGUUAGGGCACGACACCGGAGAGGGAGCCUGAGAAACGGCUACCACAUCCAAGGAUGGCAGCAGGCGCGCAAAUUACCCAAUCCCGACACGGGGAGGUAGUGACAAUAAAUAACAAUACGGGAUUCUAAAGGAUUUCGUAAUUGGAAUGAGUACAAUUUAAAUCUCUUAACGAUCAACAAUUGGAGGGCAAGUCUGGUGCCAGCAGCCGCGGUAAUUCCAGCUCCAAUAGCGUAUAUUAAAGUUGUUGCAGUUAAAAAGCUCGUAGUUGAAUUUCGGGGUUAGUAGGUUGGUCAUGCCUCUGGUAUGUACUGAUCUCACUGAUUCCUCCCUCUUGACGAACUGUAAUGUCAUUAAUUUGGUGUUCCAGGAAAUCAGGACUGUUACUUUGAAAAAAUUAGAGUGUUUAAAGCAGGCUUAGGCUUGAAUACAUUAGCAUGGAAUAAUGAAAUAGGACGUUCGAUCUUAUUUUGUUGGUUUCUAAGAUUGACGUAAUGAUUAAUAGGGAUAGUUGGGGGCAUUAGUAUUCAAUUGUCAGAGGUGAAAUUCUUGGAUUUAUUGAAGACUAACUACUGCGAAAGCAUUUGCCAAGGAUGUUUUCAUUAAUCAAGAACGAAAGUUAGGGGAUCGAAGACGAUCAGAUACCGUCGUAGUCUUAACCAUAAACUAUGCCGACUAGGGAUCGGAUGAUGUUAAUUUUUUAAUGACUCAUUCGGCGCCUUACGGGAAACCAAAGUGUUUGGGUUC
Molecule: ribosomal RNA, 799 nt
Filed under: uncultured Glomeromycotina
Lineage: Eukaryota; Fungi; Glomeromycota
Description: SSU rRNA
Rfam family: Eukaryotic small subunit ribosomal RNA
Source: RNAcentral